This 201-nucleotide long non-coding RNA is filed under the name Elaeis guineensis (African oil palm). RNAcentral's name for it is "long non-coding RNA (EGUI_LNC026881)". The record is from RNAcentral. Lineage: Eukaryota; Viridiplantae; Streptophyta; Magnoliopsida; Arecales; Arecaceae.
GGGAGGAUUACAAUAGUCCAGUUUUGGAUCCAUUGACACCAGCUACGCGCCAGGUUGACCAGUGGGCUUACAUUUAUCUAUACAUCCAUUGAAAUGGCAGUUGCACGAACAAGUUUGCCCAAAACCAACUACAAUACUACGUAUAUAUUUUUUAAGAAGUGGUAUCUUUCUAGAUCUGAUCAUUUUUUUUUGGGGGGGAAA